AACGAACGCUGGCGGCAUGCCUAACACAUGCAAGUCGAACGAGACCUUCGGGUCUAGUGGCGCACGGGUGCGUAACGCGUGGGAACCUGCCCUUAGGUUCGGAAUAACUCCCCGAAAGGGGUGCUAAUACCGGAUAAUGUCUUCGGACCAAAGAUUUAUCGCCUUUGGAUGGGCCCGCGUUGGAUUAGCUAGUUGGUAGGGUAAAAGCCUACCAAGGCGACGAUCCAUAGCUGGUCUGAGAGGAUGAUCAGCCACACUGGGACUGAGACACGGCCCAGACUCCUACGAGAGGCAGCAGUGGGGAAUAUUGGACAAUGGGCGAAAGCCUGAUCCAGCAAUGCCGCGUGAGUGAUGAAGGCCUUAGGGUUGUAAAGCGCUUUUACCCGAGAUGAUAAUGACAGUACCGGGAGAAUAAGCUCCGGCUAACUCCGUG
RNAcentral lists this ribosomal RNA (433 nucleotides) under uncultured bacterium. RNAcentral describes it as "partial 16S ribosomal RNA". It matches the Rfam family "Bacterial small subunit ribosomal RNA", at positions 29 to 507 of the family's 1533-position model. The record is from RNAcentral.